This 472-nucleotide ribosomal RNA is filed under the name uncultured bacterium. RNAcentral describes it as "partial 16S ribosomal RNA". It matches the Rfam family "Bacterial small subunit ribosomal RNA", at positions 28 to 507 of the family's 1533-position model. The record is from RNAcentral.
GACGAACGCUGGCGGCGUGCUUAACACAUGCAAGUCGAACGCUGAAGCUUGGUGCUUGCACUGGGUGGAUGAGUGGCGAACGGGUGAGUAAUACGUGAGUAACCUGCCCUUGACUCUGGGAUAAGCCUGGGAAACUGGGUCUAAUACUGGAUAUGACAUGCCACUGCAUGGUGGUGUGUGGAAAGGGUUUUACUGGUUUUGGAUGGGCUCACGGCCUAUCAGCUUGUUGGUGGGGUAAUGGCCUACCAAGGCGACGACGGGUAGCCGGCCUGAGGGGGUGACCGGCCACACUGGGACUGAGACACGGCCCAGACUCCUACGGGAGGCAGCAGUGGGGAAUAUUGCACAAUGGGCGGAAGCCUGAUGCAGCGACGCCGCGUGAGGGAUGACGGCCUUCGGGUUGUAAACCUCUUUCAGCACGGAAGAAGCGAGAGUGACGGUACGUGCAGAAGAAGCGCCGGCUAACUACGUG